AUGUCGAUGGUCAACACACGCGCCGGCGCCGAGAUCGGAGACGACGCCCUGCGCGAAGUCUUCGUGCGCCUGCCGGGCCUACGGGACCUACUCCACUGUGCGGCCACCUGCAAGCGGUGGCGCCGCGUCGUCACCGACCGGGACUUCCUCCGCCGCGCCGGCCUCUGGCCGGACACCGCGCGCCGCCCCUGCGUCCUCGCCGGGAUCUUCUCCCAGAACUAUUAUGCCCCCUGCAAUUACAUGACAAAAGAUGAUCCAUACGAGCCUCCACGGUUCCUCAGCCUUCAGGCCGGCCUUGACGUGCAUCGUGGUACCUUCGACUCCUGCGUCACCGUCCACAGCGGUAACCAACAGCUCUUUGGCCACGCGAGGCCGCUUGCGGCGCGCCGCGGUUUCCUCCUCGCGCGUGCUGUGCUGCUUUCUUCCUCGCAGCAGCAGGGAGACGGCGACUGCGGCCCGCAGAAGCUCAACCUAGCGGUGUGCCGCCCUCUGCUUGACAGAAGGAGCACGCAACAUCUCCCGCCGACUCCCUUCAACAAGACGUCCAACUUGGACUAUGCCUUGGAAGGCUGUGCGAUUAUCACGGCCACCAAUCACGCCGUCGUCGGUGAUGGUUCCAACUUGGGCCGCAAACAGGAGCAGCAGGCACCAACAGUCGUGGACAUUGGAGGGGAGGCGGCUAAAGGUAUGCACGACUCGAACACGGAUCUGCUGAAGCACGGGCGUGGGAGCGACAGGGCGGCGCCGCAAUACACGCGGUUGGAGCCUGGCAUAGAGAGCGUGUCGGGCACCAUGAGGAGCGGCAGUGCCAAUGACGCCAUUAGCAACGCCACCAGGAUCGCCAUGGACGGCUUUCCCCGCCUCCUGCCCCGCCCCGUCAUCCUGUUUGCCAUGUAG
RNAcentral lists this ribosomal RNA (897 nucleotides) under Triticum aestivum (bread wheat). RNAcentral's name for it is "partial small subunit ribosomal RNA". The record is from RNAcentral. Lineage: Eukaryota; Viridiplantae; Streptophyta; Magnoliopsida; Poales; Poaceae.